AUCUACUGCCAUGCUACCCUGAACAUGCCCAAUCCUGUCUGAUUUCGGAAGCUAAGCAGGGUCAGGCCUGGUUAGUACUUGGAUGGGAGACCACCUAGGAAUACCAGGUGCUGUGUUUA
Molecule: ribosomal RNA, 119 nt
Filed under: Pteropus alecto (black flying fox)
Lineage: Eukaryota; Metazoa; Chordata; Mammalia; Chiroptera; Pteropodidae
Source: RNAcentral